GACGAACGCUGGCGGCGUGCUUAACACAUGCAAGUCGAACGCGCCUGUCCUCUGGGUUUCUGGGGGGUGGGUGAGUGGCGAACGGGUGAGUAACACGUGAGUAACCUGCCCCCUUCUUCGGGAUAACGGUCUGAAAGGGCUGCUAAUACCGGGUAUUCACUGGUCUCCGCAUGGGGUCUGGUGGAAAGGUUUUUUUCUGGUGGGGGAUGGGCUCGCGGCCUAUCAGCUUGUUGGUGGGGUGAUGGCCCACCAAGGCUUUGACGGGUAGCCGGCCUGAGAGGGUGACCGGUCACAUUGGGACUGAGAUACGGCCCAGACUCCUACGGGAGGCAGCAGUGGGGAAUAUUGCACAAUGGGCGCAAGCCUGAUGCAGCGACGCCGCGUGAGGGAUGGAGGCCUUCGGGUUGUGAACCUCUUUCGCCCGUGGUCAAGCCGCGACGUGGGUCGUGGUGAGGGUAGUGGGUAAGAAGCGCCGGCUAACUACGUG
This 487-nucleotide ribosomal RNA is filed under the name uncultured bacterium. RNAcentral describes it as "partial 16S ribosomal RNA". It matches the Rfam family "Bacterial small subunit ribosomal RNA", at positions 28 to 507 of the family's 1533-position model. The record is from RNAcentral.